CUAGCUGACCUAUAAGGUUGAAAUGGUUUGUCUCUUCGGAGACAUCCGAUAAAAGGUUGAAAUGGAUUUGGAAAUGUUGCUCGUGAGUGGGGCCUGGCUGGCAUAGGGAGUCCUUUGUCUAGUGUCAACUUGCACAACCUAGUCCCUAUCAAUGUCCAUGGGAAUGCAUUAUUGAAGGUGACUAAGAAGAAUGAAGUUUUUUUGCGGUAGCAAGAUGGUAUGCGUGUGGAGCAUUCACGAGGCACAGGAUUAACCAAUGAGGUGCAUUUUAGGCUCUUAUAAAUAUAAAUGGGACCACUGCAUCAUCUUAGUUGAAGAGUUAAAUUAAUGUCAACGGUCGAGGUACUUGAUGUCAACUCAAGGAAGAGACUUUUAGGAAGGUGCCGAUGAAACAAGGAACUAGUUGAAAAGAUGAUGGAAGAACAACAUUCACGCUUCAAGUUGGAAUCCAAGGACGAAUGGGACAAAGAAGGACUCACACUUCAUCAAGACAUUCAAAAAGAUUCAGUCAUCCAAGGGUGAAAGGCUCUACAUCGACCUUCCAAGUCCAAGGCAGGGAAUUUCAAAAGAGUUAAUCAUUUCGGAGUAUGCUUCAUCACAUGAUGCAUUCGGAACAUUGUUGAGUAUCAAAAGAUAUUGCUUAAGAUAUCAACACUUCUUCAUGAUGAGGAAUCAAAUUCAAGGCAAGCUGAGGUGGCAUCCCAGUCAUCAAUCAACCAAUCCAAGGGUUUCAAGUCAAAUGUGUCUAGGUGCAAUGAAUCGGAUUCAACAAGUGGCUCCUAUUUUCUCAUUGGUUAUCCAAAGUGUUGUAAUUUUCUCAUUGGCCGAAAGGAGUUUAUUUGCAAGUAACCCUAAUUAGGGUUUUAUCUGUUAAUCUUGGCCAUUGAUCUUAAAUCAAUUUGGGCUGUUGCUUCGUAAUGGGGUGCCUAUAUAAACCCCCCUCCUCUCAUUUGUAAAGGGAGAGAUUUCUGAGAAAUUGUUGUAAUAAUACUUCUUAAGUGCUAAGACAUAAUUCAUUGCUCAAU
Long non-coding RNA from Cryptomeria japonica (Japanese cedar), 1025 nucleotides. RefSeq lists it as uncharacterized. Lineage: Eukaryota; Viridiplantae; Streptophyta; Pinopsida; Cupressales; Cupressaceae. The transcript is spliced from 4 exons. The record is from RefSeq and is a predicted model, not a curated record.